RNAcentral lists this ribosomal RNA (483 nucleotides) under uncultured bacterium. RNAcentral describes it as "partial 16S ribosomal RNA". It matches the Rfam family "Bacterial small subunit ribosomal RNA", at positions 28 to 523 of the family's 1533-position model. The record is from RNAcentral.
GACGAACGCUGGCGGCGUGCUUUACACAUGCAAGUCGAACGGUGAAGGUGGAGCUUGCUCCGCCGGAUCAGUGGCGAACGGGUGAGUAACACGUGGGCAACCUGCCCCUAACUUUGGGAUAACUACUCGAAAGAGUAGCUAAUACCGGAUAUGAAGUCUGUAGGCAUCUAUGGAUUUGGAAAGUUUUUCGGUUAGGGAUGGGCCCGCGGCCUAUCAGCUUGUUGGUGAGGUAGUGGCUCACCAAGGCGACGACGGGUAGCCGGCCUGAGAGGGCGACCGGCCACACUGGGACUGAGACACGGCCCAGACUCCUAAGGGAGGCAGCAGUGGGGAAGAUUGCGCAAUGGGCGAAAGGCUGACGCAGCAACGCCGCGUGCGGGAUGAAGGCCUUCGGGUUGUAAACCGCUUUCAGCAGGGAAGAAGCGAAAGUGACGGUACCUGCAGAAGAAGCACCGGCUAACUACGUGCCAGCCGCCGCAGUAA